RNAcentral lists this ribosomal RNA (490 nucleotides) under uncultured bacterium. RNAcentral's name for it is "partial 16S ribosomal RNA". It matches the Rfam family "Bacterial small subunit ribosomal RNA", at positions 28 to 507 of the family's 1533-position model. The record is from RNAcentral.
GAUGAACGCUAGCUACAGGCUUAACACAUGCAAGUCGCAGGGUAACAUGAGGAAAGCUUGCUUUCCUUGAUGCCGACUGGCGCACGGGUGAGUAACGCGUAUCCAACCUUCCCAUAACUACGGGAUAACCCGUUGAAAGACGGCCUAAUACCGUAUGAUAUCGUUUGCUGACAUCAAAUAACGAUUUAAGGUUUAGCGGUUAUGGAUGGGGAUGCGUCUGAUUAGCUUGUUGGCGGGGUAACGGCCCACCAAGGCGACGAUCAGUAGGGGUUCUGAGAGGAAGGUCCCCCACAUUGGAACCGAGACACGGUCCAAACUCCUACGGGAGGCAGCAGUGAGGAAUAUUGGUCGAUGGGCGAGAGCCUGAACCAGCCAAGUAGCGUGCAGGACGACGGCCCUAUGGGUUGUAAACUGCUUUUAUGUGGGGAUAAAGUGCGUGACGUGUCAUGCAUUGCAGGUACCACAUGAAUAAGGACCGGCUAAUUCCGUG